RNAcentral lists this ribosomal RNA (497 nucleotides) under uncultured bacterium. RNAcentral describes it as "partial 16S ribosomal RNA". It matches the Rfam family "Bacterial small subunit ribosomal RNA", at positions 28 to 507 of the family's 1533-position model. The record is from RNAcentral.
GAUGAACGCUGGCGGCGUGCCUAAUACAUGCAAGUCGAGCGAACAGACGAGGAGCUUGCUCCUCUGACGUUAGCGGCGGACGGGUGAGUAACACGUGGAUAACCUACCUAUAAGACUGGGAUAACUUCGGGAAACCGGAGCUAAUACCGGAUAACAUGUUGAACCGCAUGGUUCAACAGUGAAAGACGGUCUUGCUGUCACUUAUAGAUGGAUCCGCGCCGCAUUAGCUAGUUGGUAAGGUAACGGCUUACCAAGGCAACGAUGCGUAGCCGACCUGAGAGGGUGAUCGGCCACACUGGAACUGAGACACGGUCCAGACUCCUACGGGAGUCAGCAGUAGGGAAUCUUCCGCAAUGGGCGAAAGCCUGACGGAGCAACGCCGCGUGAGUAAAGAAGGUCUUCGGAUCGUAAAACUCUGUUAUUAGGGAAGAACAAAUGUGUAAGUAACUAUGCACGUCUUGACGGUACCUAAUCAGAAAGCCACGGCUAACUACGUG